RNAcentral lists this ribosomal RNA (579 nucleotides) under Sarocladium strictum. Its description in RNAcentral is "eukaryotic LSU rRNA". The stretch from base 197 to 350 matches the Rfam family "5.8S ribosomal RNA". Lineage: Eukaryota; Fungi; Ascomycota; Sordariomycetes; Hypocreales; Sarocladiaceae. The record is from RNAcentral.
UCCGUUGGUGAACCAGCGGAGGGAUCAUUACCAGAGUGCCCUAGGCUCUCCAACCCAUUGUGAACUUACCAAACGUUCCCUCGGCGGGCUCAGCGCGCGGUGGCCUCCGGGCCUCCGGGCGUCCGCCGGGGAAAACCAAACCCUGAUUUAAUCGUAUUUCUCUGAGGGGCGAAAGCCCGAAAACAAAAUGAAUCAAAACUUUCAACAACGGAUCUCUUGGCUCUGGCAUCGAUGAAGAACGCAGCGAAAUGCGAUAAGUAAUGUGAAUUGCAGAAUUCAGUGAAUCAUCGAAUCUUUGAACGCACAUUGCGCCCGCCGGCACUCCGGCGGGCAUGCCUGUCCGAGCGUCAUUUCAACCCUCAGGCCCACCCUUCCGGGGGAGCGGGCCUGGUGCUGGGGAUCGGCGGCCCUCGCGGCCCCCGUCCCUCAAAUACAGUGGCGGUCGCGCCGCAGCCUCCCCUGCGUAGUAGCACAACCUCGCACCGGAGAGCGGAACGACCACGCCGUGAAACCCCCAAUUUUUUAAGGUUGACCUCGGAUCAGGUAGGAAUACCCGCUGAACUUAAGCAUAUCAAUAAG